AAUGAACGCUGGCGGCGCGCCUAAUACAUGCAAGUCGAGCGAGAAGACGUAGCAAUACGUUUGUAAAGCGGCGAACGGGUGAGGAAUACAUGGGUAACCUACCCUAGAGUGGGGAAUAACUAGCCGAAAGGUUAGCUAAUACCGCGUACGCUCCUUGGACUUCGGUUCAGGGAGGAAAGCGAUGCCGAGGGUAUCGCGCUCUUGGAUGGGCUCAUGUCCUAUCAGCUUGUUGGNGAGGUAACGGCUCACCAAGGCUUCGACGGGUAGCUGGUCUGAGAGGACGGUCAGCCACACUGGCACUGCGACACGGGCCAGACUCCUACGGGAGGCAGCAGUAAGGAAUAUUGCGCAAUGGGCGAAAGCCUGACGCAGCGACGCCGCGUGGGGGAUGAAGG
Molecule: ribosomal RNA, 395 nt
Filed under: uncultured bacterium
Lineage: Bacteria
Description: bacterial SSU rRNA
Rfam family: Bacterial small subunit ribosomal RNA
Source: RNAcentral